GGGGAAUAUUGCGCAAUGGGGGAAACCCUGACGCAGCGACGCCGCGUGAGCGAAGAAGGCCUUAGGGUCGUAAAGCUCUGUUGUAAGGGACGAAUGUUCAUACUGCGAACAGUGGUGUGGAAUGACGGUACCUUACCAGCAAGCCCCGGCUAACUACGUGCCAGCAGCCGCGGUAAGACGUAGGGGGCGAGCGUUGUCCGGAAUUACUGGGCGUAAAGAGCACGUAGGCGGGUAAUUAAGUCAGAUGUGAAAGACCAGGGCCUAACCGUGGGGUUGCAUCUGAAACUGGUUGUCUUGAGGGCAGGAGAGGGCAGUGGAAUUCCUGGUGUAGCGGUGAAAUGCGUAGAAAUCAGGAGGAACACCAGUGGCGAAGGCGGCUGCCUGGACUGACCCUGACGCUGAGGUGCGAAAGCGUGGGUAGCAAAC
Molecule: ribosomal RNA, 426 nt
Filed under: uncultured bacterium
Lineage: Bacteria
Description: bacterial SSU rRNA
Rfam family: Bacterial small subunit ribosomal RNA
Source: RNAcentral